Salmo salar (Atlantic salmon) is the source of this 1421-nucleotide long non-coding RNA. RefSeq lists it as uncharacterized. The record is from RefSeq and is a predicted model, not a curated record. Lineage: Eukaryota; Metazoa; Chordata; Actinopteri; Salmoniformes; Salmonidae.
CGUCUUUCAGGCGAUGCUGCCAGUGUGACGUAUAAUCUAGUGGACGGAACGGAUCAACAGCAAUGAGUCAACCACCUUGGUAGCCAACAGCCGAAACAUUUACACUGUUUCUGUGCAUAUUUGCCUCUGUGUUUUAAAUAUACUUCUGACGUCUAGUUAAUUGCCCCCAUUUAAAUGUUAUAGGUACAUUGUAAGUCAACUAGCUGGCGUGAUAAGUUAGCCUAGCACUAAACAAGUCGCUCAUGCUAACUAGCUAGCUAGCUAACAUCCCCGACCAUGAGCUCACUGAUGUAUUCCCCCCUGCUAAAGAAGAGGUCUGUUGGACGGAGAAAGAGGGUCUGGGGCUGAACAUUGUCGUGAAAGAUGAGAAGGAAGAGGAGGAUGUUACAGUAAAACAAGAAGUAGAGGGUGAGGCUGUUACAGUGAAAGAAGAAGAGAAAGACGUUUCAGUGAAAGAAGAGAAAGAGGAGGAUGUUACAGUAAAACAAGAGGUAGAGGGUGAGGCUGUUACAGUGAAAGAAGAAGAUAAAGACGUUACAGUGAAAGAAGCGGAAGAGGUGUUCAGAGUGAAAGAGGAGGAGGAUGUUACAGUUAAAGAAGAGGAGGAAGAGAAAGAGGAGGAUGCAGUUUUUUGAUUGAAGAAGGAGAAAGAGGGAGAGAUAACGGUCAUAUUGACAGAGGAGUCAGGAGAUCUGAUGACCAUCAGAGAGAGACCAGACUCUGACAGCAGGAAGAGUUCCUCAGAGGAAACAGACCCGGAGACGCCUAACCAACACCACUGUUCCCAGUGUGGAAAGAGUUUUAGGUGGUUAGGGAGCCUGAAAAUGCAUGAGAGAACACAUACAGGAGAAAAGCCCUACCACUGUUCCCACUGUGGAAAGAAUUUUACUCAGUUAGGGGCCCUGGUUGGGCAUGAGAGAACACACAUGGGAGAGAAGCCUUAUCACUGUUCCCACUGUGGAAAGAGUUUUAGGUGGUUAGUGAGCCUGAAAACGCAUGAGAGAACACACACAGGCGAAAAGCCUUUCCAAUGUUCCCAGUGUGAAAGGAGUUUUAGGUGGUCAGGGAGUCUGAAAAAGCAUGAGGGAAUACACACAGGAGAAAAGCCUUUCCAACAUACUAAUACACAGGAGGAGAAGACAUACCACUGUUCUCAUUGUGAAAAUACAUUUUCCCAGUCAGAGGACCUGAAAUCACACGAGAGAAUAGAGAAGCUGUGUUCUGACUUGUGUUUUUGACAGAGAAUUUGUCCACGGACAGGAUUCAUAGGGCCAGGGUGUCCGCUAUGGACACCUGGAAAAAAUCAGCAGUGGACAUUUCUGAACGUUUUUCCAACAGACCUGUACAUCCAUGAAUGGAUUUCUAUAAUGUGUAACUAUUUCUGAUGUAGGUAUUGUUUAAUAAAUGUACUAUGUUAGGUA